CCUACGGGAGGCAGCAGUGGGGAAUAUUGCACAAUGGGGGGAACCCUGAUGCAGCGACGCCGCGUGGGUGAAGGAGUGCUUCGGCAUGUAAAGCCCUAUCGGCAGGGAAGAAGCAAGACGGUACCUUACUAAUAAGCCCCGGCUAACUACGUGCCCGCAGCCGCGGUAAUACGUAGGGGGCGAGCGUUAUCCGGAUUUACUGGGUGUAAAGGGAGCGUAGACGGCCAUGCAAGUCAGAGGUGAAAGCCCGGGGCCCAACCCUGGGACUGCCUUUGAAACUGGAUGGCUGGAGUGCGGGAGGGGUAGGUGGAAUUCGUGGUGUAGCGGUGAAAUGCGUAGAUAUCAGGAGGAACACCGGUGGCGAAGGCGGCUUGCUGGACCGCGACUGACGUUGAGGCUCGAAAGCGUGGGGAGCGAACAGGAUUAGAUACCCUUGUAGUC
Molecule: ribosomal RNA, 441 nt
Filed under: uncultured bacterium
Lineage: Bacteria
Description: partial 16S ribosomal RNA
Rfam family: Bacterial small subunit ribosomal RNA
Source: RNAcentral